This is a long non-coding RNA of Coccinella septempunctata (seven-spotted ladybird), 133 nucleotides long. RefSeq lists it as uncharacterized. Lineage: Eukaryota; Metazoa; Arthropoda; Insecta; Coleoptera; Coccinellidae. The record is from RefSeq and is a predicted model, not a curated record. The transcript is spliced from 2 exons.
GGAAAGUUUUCCACCGCCUCAGGGAGGCCAACCUGCAAUUAAAUCCGGAAAAAUUAACCGAGGACGGCAUUUGUACCGAUCCUGAUAAGAUUUCAGCCAUAAAUGAGAUGCCUGCACCGAAAUCCGUACGAGA